This 1687-nucleotide long non-coding RNA is filed under the name Helianthus annuus (common sunflower). RNAcentral describes it as "hypothetical non coding rna". The record is from RNAcentral. Lineage: Eukaryota; Viridiplantae; Streptophyta; Magnoliopsida; Asterales; Asteraceae.
UUUUACCCACUGUAUUAAAAUAAUAUUUUGGGAAUUUUAAAGAUUUUUAAUAAUUUUUACCUCGCUCAUAACCUGCGGUUAUGGCUACGGUUCGGUAAAUACCGAAUAUGUCCUUUUCGGCCAAAACAUGAGUUCUACAAGGUCUUUUGACCCGAUUCCAGUUGCUACUGGUUUUAAAUAAUAAAUAAAGUAUUUUAAGCUUUAUAAGCUGUUCGGGAAACUCAGAUUUCCUGUAGAACUCGAAAAGCACUUUUUUAAAGUCUUUAAAAUGACCCAAAAGCCCCUACGGGGCAUAAUAUUAACUUAAACUCGUUACGGGCAUCACGGAAGGUAUCCUACUGAUACCACAACCCAUUUAAGGCAUAUUGACUUAGGAAAUAAGCGUACGACUCUCAUGGUUAACCGUUUCGCCUAUUGCGCGCACGGUUCGGCUUAUGAAACUAGUUUUCAUAAAUUAGCCGAUACGGGUCAAAUUAUAUUAUUUGAACCCCAAAAUCCAGAGUGUGAACCAUAAACCCAUAUAAAACAAGUCUCUGAACUUGUUGGGUCAGAAUCGCACUCCAUUCUCGGUUUUCGCCUUUUCGCGCGAUUAAACCAUACCUAUAUAUAUCGGAACCAACCGGUCUAGGCUACGGCCAUUAUAAAGACUCGUUAGGAUUCUAAGAGGUUAAUUAAAACCUUCGUUCCAGAUUAGGAGCCCCAGUAAAAGCUAUCGGUGAUUUAAUCCAAAUUAAGGAAAUAUACUUGCAAAGGUAAAUACUUUAACUUAUUUCCCCUAUAUGGGCUUGGGUUACGGUAUAUUAAUACCGCUUGAUUGAGCAUUGUAUUCUUCCAUCGCUUAGGUGGUUAAUUAAAUAAUAUGAUCGGCUCAUUUAAACAGUUUUGCUUCUUAUAAGCCUUUGGGAGGUUUAAUGACCGUUGUCCCGGAUAUCCUUGGCAUCAUUUUACGAAAUGGCCACGACCAUCGACAUCCCGGUGUAGGCGUACACCCGGUAUAAAGUGUCGACAUUAAAUUAAAAGACGUAGCCGUUGGUUUUUAUACUACGGUUUUACGCAAUGUGGUGUGUCUAUAAAUCUUUAACCCGGCACGACCCGGGCUACUGAACGCAUAAAAGAACAUGUAAAACGUUCACGAGAUUUUAUUAUAAUUUUCCCAAGUUAUAAAAGAGUUUGUGCCUUGUGCAUUCAAAUCAAUUUUAAUAAACAUUUUCAAAUGUGUCAGUUGAAUGUAUUUACCAGUGUAAACUGACGUAUUUUCCCCAAAAAGAUUAAGUGCAGGUACUAGACGAAAUUGGCUGGUAUUAGCUGCCUAAGCAUCACGAAUAGUCUCGCAAACUCGAUGCCGUAUCUGAAUGAACAAUAUUUAUUUAUUUUGAUCCGCUGUGGAUAUAUUCAGCUUCUGUAAUACAUUUGAUAUUACAACCAGAGGUUGAAGUUUAUAUAUUUAUCUUAAGCUUCCGCUGUGCAUUAUAUAAUUGUGUGGUUUGACUAUAUUGUUGCCAACAUCGUCACGGUAAUCCCCCACCGGGCCCACCGGUGAGACACGUGGAAAUCGGGGUGUGACAGGUUGGUAUCAGAGCCAACAUUGAGUGAGUUAAACACUAUCCUAUUGUGUUUAAUCUCAAUGACACAAUUGCACAUACUUGAGUCUAGACAAGAACUUAGGACAAAUUCGAAUUUUUUAUAA